GGAGACGGGAGUUAACUCUGAAUAUUAUUAUUCGCACAAAAUUACAGAAAAUGUUUAGAGAAGCCAAGGGGGGGGGAGCUUCUUUAUUUUAUUGCAUUGAUUGAUAUUUAUUUCCCCGAGUCAAUCUGAAUCUGACUAGACUUUAAAACAUAGAAAGUACUACCAAUAUCAAACAUUAAAAAUGUUUUUUUUUUUUUCCUCAGUGUCAGUAGGUAUGGAUCGAAAACGAAUGCGUUACCCUCCCGUAAUCCCCCGUUUCAAACCCCGUUCCUAUCACAGCAGUUUACCUCAGUAUUAUAUG
This is a non-coding RNA of Cinara cedri, 301 nucleotides long. NCBI's taxonomy places the organism in Eukaryota, Metazoa, Arthropoda, Insecta, Hemiptera, Aphididae. The record is from the annotation of a GenBank genome assembly.